Molecule: ribosomal RNA, 501 nt
Filed under: uncultured bacterium
Lineage: Bacteria
Description: partial 16S ribosomal RNA
Rfam family: Bacterial small subunit ribosomal RNA
Source: RNAcentral
AUUGAACGCUGGCGGCAGGCUUAACACAUGCAAGUCGAGCGGAGAUGAGGUGCUUGCACCUUAUCUUAGCGGCGGACGGGUGAGUAAUGCUUAGGAAUCUGCCUAUUAGUGGGGGACAACAUUCCGAAAGGAAUGCUAAUACCGCAUACGUCCUACGGGAGAAAGCAGGGGAUCUUCGGACCUUGCGCUAAUAGAUGGGCCUAAGUCGGAUUAGCUAGUUGGUGGGGUAAAGGCCUACCAAGGCGACGAUCUGUAGCGGGUCUGGGAGGAUGAUCCGCCACACUGGGACGGAGACACGGCCCAGACUCCUACGGGAGGCAGCAGUGGGGAAUAUUGGACAAUGGGGGAAACCCUGAUCCAGCCAUGCCGCGUGUGUGAAGAAGGCCUUAUGGUUGUAAAGCACUUUAAGCGAGGAGGAGGCUACUGAGACUAAUACUCUUGGAUAGUGGACGUUACUCGCAGAAUAAGCACCGGCUAACUCUGUGCCAGCAGCCGCCGUAA